CAAUAGCGUAUAUUAAAGUUGCUGCAGUUAAAACGCUCGUAGUUGGAUUUCAGGACGUCAGGCCUGCGAACCACUGGAAGUUUUCUAGUGUGUGUAAUGUCUGAGGUGAGGAAGGGUUGUUGGGGCUUUCGGGUCUCAGUGGCUGUUCCAUAUCCGAGUUACCGAUGUUUGCGCCUCGUGCGUCCUACGCUGUGCAGGUUUUGCCUUUGUUUACAGAGGUGAGAUACUGCACCAGAUACCUUGAGGAAAUUGGAGUGUUCAAGGCAAGCGAUAAUAUCGCGAUUGACCACUGAAGCAUGGAAUAUCGACCAUGACUCUUGUCACGGUUCGUUGGUUUCACGGCACGAGUAAUGAUUAAUAGGAGCGGUCGGGGCCAUUGGUAUGCUUGCGUGAGAGGUGAAAUUUUUAGACCGCAGGCAGACCAACUACUGCGAAAGCAUUUGGCAAGGACGCUUNCAUUA
RNAcentral lists this ribosomal RNA (461 nucleotides) under uncultured eukaryote. RNAcentral describes it as "partial 18S ribosomal RNA". It matches the Rfam family "Eukaryotic small subunit ribosomal RNA", at positions 592 to 975 of the family's 1831-position model. The record is from RNAcentral.